This 1419-nucleotide ribosomal RNA is filed under the name Triticum aestivum (bread wheat). Its description in RNAcentral is "partial small subunit ribosomal RNA". The record is from RNAcentral. Lineage: Eukaryota; Viridiplantae; Streptophyta; Magnoliopsida; Poales; Poaceae.
AUGGCAGCGGCAGGGAGACUGCGGGGACGGCGGCGGGCGCUCAAGGAGGUGGAGCGCGAGCCCGAGCCGUUCACCAUCGAGGAGGAGGUGUCCCACCUCACCCGGGUUCGGUCGGAGCCGUGCCCCGGCACCCGCGCCGCCAUCCAUGGCGCCAGGCGGAAGAGGGACUUCUCGGCUUUCGAGAUGCUGUCGUCGAGGGAGUCCGGCCUCUCGGGAGGCGGCGGGUUCUGUUCGGCCGACCGCGCCUACGCCGCCGGGAAGCACCUCCCGUCGGAAGGACCGUGGUGCGUGGAAGACAUGGAUAGCGAGGCCUAUGUCUCGCAGUUCUCCAGCGAUGGCUCGCUGCUCGUUGCCGGGUUUCGGGGAAGCCGCAUCAGAGUUUACGAUGCCGAUAGAGGGUGGAAGGUUCAUAAGAACAUAAGCUGCAGAAGUAUGAGGUGGACGGUUUCAGAUAUUGCUCUCUCCCCUGACCAGCGAUACCUUGCCUAUUCCAGUUUGUCGCCUAUUGUUCACAUUGUGAAUGUGCAGAAUGCUGGAAGAGAAUCGGAUGCUAAUGUUACUGAAAUUCACGAGGGUUUGGAAUUCUGUGAUGACGAUGAAUACUCUUUCGGGAUAUUCUCUGUGAAAUUUUCAAAAGAUGGUAGAGAAGUAGUUGUUGGGAACAAUGAUUGUUCAAUACAUGUCUAUGAUCUUGGAGCAAAUAAAGUGUCUGACCGUAUCCGUGCUCAUACGUCUGAUGUCAACACGGUCACCUUUGCGGAUGAAAGUGGCAAUUUGUUGUACUCUGGAAGUGAUGAUAAUCUCUGUAAGGUCUGGGAUAGGCGUUGCCUUGUAAGAGAGAAACCAGCAGGUGUUUUGACAGGUCACUUAGAUGGGAUUACAUGUAUUGAUAGCCGUGGUGAUGGGCGUUAUCUAAUCUCCAACUGCAAGGAUCAGACUAUCAAACUUUGGGACGUCAGAAAGAUGUCCGCCACUGUAAAAGGACGACAACCAAGAUUAUAUGACUGGGACUACAGAUGGAUGACGUUCCCAUCACAUGCUAGAUAUUAUAAGCAUCCAAAUGAUCUGUCUCUGGCAACAUACAGGGGUCAUUCAGUUCUGCGGACACUUAUCCGCUGCUACUUCUCUCCAAUGCACAGCACGGGCCAGAGGUACAUAUACACUGGAUCAAGUGACGAUUCAGUGCAUAUUUACGAUGUGGUAACCGGGGCGACCGUGAAGAAGCUCUCGUGGCACGGUUCGAUCAUCAGAGACUGCACCUGGCAUCCUUAUUGUCCAACGCUCGUAAGCUCUUCCUGGGACGGCUAUCUGGCCCGGUGGGAGGCAUCAGGUGACAACGAGGACCCCUCGGUGCUCACGUGCGACGAGCAGAGGACUAGCCCUUACGACCAGACAUACGGGCUCUCUUUUGCCCUGUAG